RNAcentral lists this small RNA (61 nucleotides) under unclassified sequences. RNAcentral's name for it is "DUF2815 RNA". It matches the Rfam family "DUF2815 RNA". The record is from Rfam by way of RNAcentral.
CGGGUAGACGAUACGGCCCCGACUGAAGUCCGUAUCACAACGUCAAAAAGGUAGUCUUAUG